AUCGAUGAAGAACGCAGCGAAAUGCGAUAAGUAAUGCGAAUUGCAGAAUUCAGUGAAUCAUCGAAUCUUUGAACGCACAUUGCGCUCUCUGGUAUUCCGGAGAGCACGCCUGUUCGAGCGCCAUUUCACCCCCCAAGCAGUGCUUGAUGUUGGAGGCCGCGGAGAGAUCCGCGCCUCUGAAACUUGUGAGGCGCCGUCGGUCGAGCACCAGCGUGGCAAGCAAACUUCGCUGGGAUGUGUUCGGAUGGGUGGCAGCCGCGACGUACCAAUUUUUUGGGAUUUUCCCGAAAAUCAGGUUGGCCUCGGAUCAGGUGGGGAUACCCGCUGAACUUAAGCAUAUCAAUAAGCGGAGGAAAAGAAACCAACAGGGAUUGCCUCAGUAACGGCGAGUGAAGCGGCAACAGCUCAAAUUUGAAAUCUGGCGUCUUCGGCGUCCGAGUUGUAAUUUGUAGAGGGAGUCUCGGGUGGAGCGCCGGUCCAAGUGCCUUGGAACAGGAUACCAGAGAGGGUGAGAGUCCCGUAUCUGGCCGGUUGCGACCCCGUGUGAGGCCCCUUCGACGAGUCGAGUUGUUUGGGAAUGCAGCUCUAAAUGGGUGGUAAAUUCCAUCUAAAGCUAAAUACUGGCCAGAGACCGAUAGCGCACAAGUAGAGUGAUCGAAAGAUGAAAAGCACUUUGAAAAGAGAGUUAAAAAGUACGUGAAAUUGUUGAAAGGGAAGCGUAUGUGGCCAGACUUGGCCGCGGUUGCUCAGCCUGCCUUCUGGCAGGUGUAUUCUUCCGCGGUCAGGCCAGCAUCGGUUUGGGCGGUCGGAUAAAGGCGCUGGGAAUGUGGCUCUUUGGAGUGUUAUAGCCCGGCGUGCAAUGCGGCCUGCCUGGACCGAGGACCGCGCUCUGCUAGGAUGCUGGCGUAAUGGCCUUAUACGGCCCGUCUUGAAACACGG
This 939-nucleotide ribosomal RNA is filed under the name uncultured fungus. Its description in RNAcentral is "eukaryotic LSU rRNA". The stretch from base 298 to 939 matches the Rfam family "Eukaryotic large subunit ribosomal RNA", at positions 1 to 664 of the family's 3401-position model. Lineage: Eukaryota; Fungi. The record is from RNAcentral.